GAGAACCGAGGAAAAGAGGCUCGCUGGUAAAUAAGCCUGGCGACUGAUGGCUGAGGACGUCUCGCGAUAAUCGUGUGUAAGAUGGCGGCGGCGGCGGCCGCGGGGCGGCUCGGGGUGAGCCGGGAAAGACGCGGACGGAGACCGGCUCCCCUGACCGAGUCGAAGAACACCGGCUAGCAUGUAGUCUGUUCCUGCCGGGGACAGCUCUUAUGGCAGGCUCUCUGCUGCACUGAACUUGGGCUGUGCGCUCGCUCCUUCCUCCUCACACCGAGAACUGUUUUCUCGGGUUCCGUUUCCCUGACAUUGUCCCUUCGUGUCGAAUUGCUGGUGAUGGAGUGGGUAGGCCCGAAAUUGACCUCCUCACCUCCGGGUUACCUUCAGGGAUUUUUUCACCCGUUCUUUUUCUACCCUCUGCUAAACUUAUUUUGCUUCCUCGGAAAAGUUUAUCCCGGGCGCCCCGCCCCAUCAAUUUUCGAGACCAAAAUAGGAAGUAAAUCUCAGGCCCACGCACAAACAAGAAAGAAAGAAAGACAGACAGACAGACCUUAGGUGUUUAGCCGUGGGAUGCAAAUGGAAUCUCCCAGGAGUAGGAUUUGCUGAUCGCGGGCCUCUGCUGACAUCCUCUGAAUCAGGACUUCCAGGAGUGUCUCUGCUCUAUGGCAAUAAAGCGAGCCUAUGAAGCAGGAUUUACGGAACACUGGUCAACAAGGAGGAAUGAAGCACAAGGGAUGAACACGACAAUAAAACUGGGAAGAAUGUUUACCUCUAGAAGCCCCUGAGUAGUUUUCGUGAGGUGCAUUAAGUUCUGUCAAGUAAAACCAUAUAUGGCUAACCACAGUGUACAACUUAGAUGGCUCCACUUGCUACAUUAUUAACAAACUUGAUGUCACUAGUAUUUUUAACCGCAUCAGUUUCAAAUCAGGCCAGGUGUGAUGGCUCAUGCCUUUAGUCCCAGAACUUGGUAGGCAGAGAAAAGUAGAUCUCUUGCAAGGCCACCCUGGUCUACAUAGUGAAUUCCAGAACAUGUCUCUGAAAAUUCAUUAAUUUUAGAAAAUACUUUAUAAUCAGUAUCACUCCAUUUCAUUUUUAAGACAUGGUCUCACUCUGUCGCCCCGACAAGCCUGGAACUCACAGAGUUCCACCUUCUGCCUCCCAAGUGCUAGGAAUUAAAGUCCUGCAGUGCCACACUCAUCCAAGAUUGGGGUUUUCCCUUAUUUUUUUCAGAAACCAGUGUUUAGGAGCUGAAGAGAGAUCUCAGCAGUUAAGAGUAUUUGUGGAGAGUAUGGCUCUUAGACAGGACCAGGGUUCAACUAACAACUCUGGCUCCAGAGGAUCUAAUGCAUUCUAGCUUCUGCAGGCACUGCAUGCAUGAGGUGCACAGACAUGCAGGCAAAACAAUCAUAGGACGUUUUAAAAAAAAAAAAAAAAGAGUAAAUAAAAGUUUUAAAAUACUUACUUUGUAUUUAUUCUACGUUUCAGUCAACCAGAAAUGUUUAAUGAACUCAGAAAUCACGUAUAGCUUGCUGGUAAGUACAAUAUUGUACAGCAUAGACUUUGUCUCCUUAGUAUCGAAUGAAUGAGCACUCUAUGAGAGCCAGAGGAGUAAUAUUCUGGCUAUGUGAUUUAUAAAAGAGGGACCUUUGAAAUUGCUAACUCAAUGGCAGCGGGGGCUAGGUAAUAACAAAAGCUAGUCUUGUAUAAUAUAAAAACUAGUGCGUACUAGAACCCACUAGAAUCACAAAUUCUUAUCAGAAAGGACUCUCUUGAGUACCUUUGUUUUUGAGACAGGGUCUCACUAUGUAGUUCUGGCUGUCCUGGAACUCACUCUGUAGAUCAGGCUGGCCUUGAACUCAAAAAUCCACCUGCCUCUGUCUCUCAAGUGCUGGGACUAAAGGCAUGCACCACCCACACCUUCCUACUCCUGAAUUUUAAAACAGUAAUGUAUCUGUGAGGGCUUAAAUUCAAUCCCCAACACUGCAGUAAAAAUAAAGAGAGUGGGCUGGGUGUAGUGGCAGUGUCAGGAGAAUCACCACAAGGUCUGGGCUAGCCUGUCCCACACAAGAGUUGCAGUCCAUCCAGAGCUACACAGACCCUUCAAAAGAGAAAAUAUAGAUAUAUGUUGGCAGACAGACGACCCUGAAGAAGAGAACACUUUUCUCAUGCUACGAGAGAAUGGAACCCAAAGAGUCAUCUUCCCUAGUGAAGCCCUGCACCCCACUAUUGCAGAGGUUCUCAACCUGUGGGGUUCUGAGGCUUACAGGUCAUCAAAUGACCCUUUCUCCAGGUUACAGGUCAGAUAUCCUGCAUAUCAGAUGUCUACAGUUUAUAAUAGUAGCACCAUUACAGUUAUAACGUAGCAACAAAAUAAUGUCAUGGUUGGGGAUCAUACAACAUGAGGAACUAUAUUGAGGGGUUGCCCAGCGUUAGGAAGGCUGAUCUAUUACAUACUCAAACAUGAAUUGUUGUACAUUCUAUGUUCUGUUUUUUUCCUUUUUGUUAAACUUUUAUCAAUGAAGAAUCUAUUGCACUUAUUUGGGGAUGUAACAUAUAGACAAACAACUUGCAGAGGUCAGUUUUCUUUUUCCACUGUGUGGACCCCAAGGAUGGAACUCAAGUCACCAGGCUCAGAGGCAGACACCUGUACCCACUAAACCAUCUCGCCAACCUUUAGGCUUUUGCUUGUUUGUUUGUGGUUUUUGUUUUGAAACAGGGUCUCAAUGUGUAGCCCUGGUUGGUCUGGAAUUAUAUAAACCAGGCUAACCCAGAACUCAUAAAGAUACACCUG
Molecule: long non-coding RNA, 2785 nt
Filed under: Mus pahari (shrew mouse)
Lineage: Eukaryota; Metazoa; Chordata; Mammalia; Rodentia; Muridae
Description: lncRNA (MGP_PahariEiJ_G0003888.1)
Source: RNAcentral